UUGAACUGUAUGGGAAGAAGUGGCUAGAAGCCAUUUAAAAUAAUAUAGAAAAUUUCAAAGAAAUGAUAUAAAAUAAUAAAAGUAAAAUCUAAAAUAUAAUCAGAAAAAUUAUUAUUUUUUUACUUGGUUGGUAAUAAUGAAGUCUGACUGCUGGAUGUUAUUAAUUGUGGCUUGAAAUCAUCAUAAAACAAAACGAACUGUUUUGAACUAGCAAUGCAAAAUAGCAUGGAUUUUAGUGACCUGAUGAACAGGGCUUCAAAGAAUCAAGAAAACGUGGUGAAUAAUGUUAAAAAUAAAAAGUCCAAAGACAAUGGCUCAAAUCAAGUUUCAAGUGCGGCAGUUAAAGCUUUUUUGGCGCGACAAAAUGCCGAGAAAAUCAAGCAAAAAGAACAGGAAGAAGCUGCCAGACGAGCGAGAAUACAAGCACGACUGCAGGGAAAGCAACUGGAUAAAUCAAAGACAAAGACGAAUACUGAAGAUGUUAAUAAAGCUGGUGAACGAACCCAACAAACUUCUGCAAUAAAUAAACAUACACGGAGAGGUUAUGACUCGACUUCUUCUAUAUCCAAAAAACAGUCAAAACACAAUUUAGCUCAAAAGAAAAAGUCCGAAGAUGAAAGACAACUUUCAAAGUCGAAAGAGAAUGAAAAGUUGAAAAAUUCGUCUCAAGAAAGGACUAAUACGACCAUAGAAAAGAAACAUAUUGGAAAAGUUAAAAAACCUCCACCACCAAAUUUGAGUUUUCAGGAAUUGAUGAACGUUGCUAAAAAACAGGCGGAUAAUCCCGAAGCGUUCCGAGCUGUGAACGAGCAAACAUCGGGAAACGAUAGUCGGGAGAGAACACAAACGAAUGAUCAAUCCAUGAACGAUUGGAGAAAUGAGGAAAUAAGAAUUCCAGGGAAGAAUUAUAAAGGUACUGGUAAUAAUGAUCGAAAAAAAGACACAGUUUCGCAAGAUAAACAAAGUUCGAAAAAGACGGAGAAAAAGUUACCAGAAAGUAAACAUACAAAAGGAAAAAACUCCGAAAGACAGGAUCAAAUAUCAUCGGAAAUUCGCCAUCGGAAAGCUCCGUCGACUGUCGAUCGAAAAGUCUCAAAAGGAAAUAAUCCAAAAUUGUCUAAAAAUUCAAAUGUAGAUUUGAGGGGUAAAACAUUUCAGAAACCAAAAGUGAUGACGAUAGAACGUGAAACAAUUUCUCAGAAAGACUAUGGCACGCCAAUGAAAUACCAAGGACAUAAAGAAUAUUUUCAACGUAAAAGACGACACAACCCGUACGAGGAGGAAGAGGAAGAGGAUGAUGACUUUAUUGAUGAUAGCGAGGAGGCACCAGAUACUAUUUCUAGUUACAUCAAGGAAAUUUUCGGAUACGACAAGAAUAAAUACUGCUGUCUACAAACGAUGUUGCGAUGAAAUGGUUUGCAUGAAUUUCCAUGGAUAUGCAGAGAUGUAGCUGCACCUAAUUUUGUUUGGCAUUCAAUUGGGCAAACUUGAUUUCGAUGAGUAAUUUUUAUUUUGAAAUUAUUCUAUCAUUUCUUGCUGUUAUGAAAUAAAAAAGGUUUCGUGGUCGAGAUGAAGAUACUAGCAACAUGGAGUCAAGUUUUGGCGACAUUCAAAGAGAAGAAGC
Molecule: unclassified non-coding RNA, 1624 nt
Filed under: Dendronephthya gigantea
Lineage: Eukaryota; Metazoa; Cnidaria; Anthozoa; Malacalcyonacea; Nephtheidae
Description: protein SPT2 homolog, transcript variant X2
Source: RNAcentral